Molecule: ribosomal RNA, 425 nt
Filed under: uncultured bacterium
Lineage: Bacteria
Description: partial 16S ribosomal RNA
Rfam family: Bacterial small subunit ribosomal RNA
Source: RNAcentral
GUGGGGAAUAUUGGACAAUGGGGGCUACCCUGAUCCAGCCAUGCCGCGUGAGUGAUGACGGCCUUCGGGUUGUAAAGCUCUGUUACAUGGGAAGAUAAUGACGUUACCAUGAGAAUAAGCACCGGCAAACUUCGUGCCAGCAGCCGCGGUAAUACGAAGGGUGCAAGCGUUGCUCGUAAUUACUGGGUGUAAAGGGCGUGUAGGCGGAUUAGUUAGUUAGUGGUGAAAUCCUUGGGCGCAACCUGAGAACUGCCAUUGAUACAGCUAGUCUGGAGUAAUAGAGAGGAUGACGGAAUAUCCAGUGUAGAGGUGAAAUUCGUAGAUAUUGGAUAGAACACCGGUGGCGAAGGCGGUCAUCUGGCUGAUUACUGACGCUGAGGAGCGAGAGCGUGGGGAGCAAACAGGAUUAGAAACCCGGGUAGUCC